This 506-nucleotide ribosomal RNA is filed under the name uncultured bacterium. Its description in RNAcentral is "partial 16S ribosomal RNA". It matches the Rfam family "Bacterial small subunit ribosomal RNA", at positions 29 to 523 of the family's 1533-position model. The record is from RNAcentral.
AUUGAACGCUGGCGGCAUGCCUAACACAUGCAAGUCGAACGGCAGCACGGUCUAGCUUGCUAGAUGGGUGGCGAGUGGCGCACGGGUGAGUAACGCGUAGGAAUAUGCCUUGAAGUGGGGGAUAACUUGGGGAAACUCAAGCUAAUACCGCAUAAGCUCUUAGGAGGAAAGCUGGGGACCGUAAGGCCUGGCGCUUCAAGAUUAGCCUGCGGCCGAUUAGCUAGUUGGUGGGGUAAGGGCCUACCAAGGCGACGAUCGGUAGCUGGUCUGAGAGGAUGGCCAGCCACACUGGGACUGAGACACGGCCCAGACUCCUACGGGAGGCAGCAGUGGGGAAUAUUGGACAAUGGGGGCAACCCUGAUCCAGCAAUGCCGCGUGUGUGAAGAAGGCCUGAGGGUUGUAAAGCACUUUCAGUGGGGAGGAGGAUUGACAGGUUAAGAGCUAGUUAAUUGGACGUUACCCACAGAAGAAGCACCGGCUAACUCCGUGCCAGCAGCCGCGGUAA